UGCUGCACAAUCAUGAUAUACAUAAUCAAUGUUGGGACCUCUACUAUCCCUAGGUUCAUGUCAAGUUUACUACACUAGACUCAAUGCCACUCGUUCGAUCAUUGUAGUAAGUUUUCUACUAGUUGACAUGCCACUCGUUCAAGUUUAGUGUCUCUAUUACAAUAGUUCAAUACCACUCUACUAGGCUAUGUCCAAGUUCGGCUCUUUAUGCCGCUAUAGGAUUCUAUGUCACAAGACCUAAUCCUCAUGCUAUCCUAGUCCACGUGUCAAGCUCACCCCGCUACACUAUCAAGAAAGCAUGCAAGGAAAUGGAAUGUACAGCUACUAUUCCUAUAGCACAAUAUGAUCAAUAUAAUUAACUUAGACAUAAAAAGAAACCAGGAUGUUUCGGGAUGACACCCCCCACCUUUUGUGUAUACGGAGGCUCUAGAAAUGCUUUUCGGCGUCCUUUACAACGAAGCCUCGGUCUUUUUGGUCCAAAUGAUGCUCAAUCGGCCUUAUUUUGCCAAUAGCUCUUGACCCACAUGACGAAUUGAAAUUUCGACUUCGCCCCCGCGUUUCGUUACCUAGCAAUUAGGUUUUCAUGGUCUCAAAUGAGAUCAAUAUCACACUUUACCAAAAACCCUAUUUUGGUGCCCUAGGGUUAGCAUCAAGCUAAACCCAUCUCAAAACCCUAGAUUCUAGCUCUAAUCCUUCCAUUCAUGGUGCUAGGGAUCCAUUUGAUCCCAUCCAAGGAGCUAAAACCCAAGAACCCUAAAUUUCAUAAGCUAGGGUUAGAAGCUUACCUCUAGGUUAGCUUAAAAGAGAGAAGAGAGGAAGAGGGAGAGGUCUAAAGCCUUCUUUUUCUUGAUCUCCUUCUUCUUCUCCUUCCUUUUCUUCCUUCUUUUCCUUCAUCUUUCUCCUUCUUCUUUUUCUUCCUCUCUUCUUUAGAGAGAAGGAGCAAGAGAGUGUGAGUGAGGGAGAGGGGGAAAUGAUAGGCUGGAGAAGAGAGAGGGACCACAAGCCCUCAUAUUGUAAUAAUAUCCAGCUGGCCCUCUCAACUUUUCACUCUGUGCACUACCCUUAUUGGGCGUUCUGCGCGCGGAGGGACCGGUCUCCCCGACUUGGGACCGGUCCCCGAGAGCUUCUGCUCGGGUCACGUGUUCGGGUACCGGUCUCUCCCAAAUGGACCGGUCCUCGGGAGACCGGUCCUUGCCUGAGAGACCGGUCCCCGAGAGUAAUAUUUUCAGGACUUAGCCAAAUUUCUGGCUUUCUCGUUGGGUUCACGUUCGGGGACCGGUCCCUCCCUGCCAGGGACCGGUCGCCUCAAGCAAUCCCGCAACACCAACCGAUAGGACCGGUCCCUCCCUGCCAGGGAUCGGUCCCCGAGAGCAGUUUUGCUGAAGUGCAGGUUUUGCACUAUUUGCUCCCGUGGACUCGUUUCCAAAGCACUUUUGGUGAUUUUAACACCAUUGGCUUUUCCAAAGCUCACCAACACGACCCUUGGUCGAUUUUGUAUGAAGUCUAACUCUCGUAUUUCGAGAAUUCACUUUCUUAUAUCCUCCCCUCCUAAAAAAGAGUUUCGUCCUUGAAACGAAUUCAAUAAUACAUACCUCAUUGCAUUUCCGUGAACAGAUGAGGAUAAUGCACUUUCAUCGGUUCCUCGAGUUCCCACGUGGCCUUACGAUCGUCGUGUCUUCACAUAGGGAAUCUCACGAUUUCUCAGCUUCUGCACUUCUCGAGCAAUGAUCAUCGCCGGAAACUCUUCAUAGCUCAAAUCUUCUUGUAGAUCCGGCAGUUCAUAAUACAGGACAUGCUCGGGAUCGUGAAUGUACUUGCGAAAGUUGGAGACGUGGAACACGUUAUGCACACCCGCGAGCUUCGACGGUAAUGCAAGUCGGUACGCUACCGCUCUAGCCCGCUCCAACACUUCGAAAGGCCCAAUAUAUCGGAGACUUAGCUUUUCCCGCACUCCGAAGCGAUUCACACCUCUCAUAGGUGAAACCUUCAAGAAAACGCGGUCACCUACCGCGAAUUCCAAGUCUCUACGGCGUUUGUCAGAAUAGCUCUUUUGCCUCGACUGUGCCGUAAGUAGUCUCUCGCGAGCAAGACGGACCUUCUCUUCCGCCUCUCGCAAUACAUCUGGGCCCAAUGCCGCAGGUUCACCUACAUCGCCCCAACAUAUAGGGGAUCGGCACUUUCGCCCGUAUAGGACCUCGAACGAUGCCAUCCCGAUGCUAGCUUGGUAACUGUUGUUGUAGGCGAACUCGGCCAUUCUCAAGUGGUUUGCCCAACUACCCUUGUAGUCAAUGACACACGCCUGCAACAUAUCCUCCAGAAUCUGUAUAGUCCUCUCUGACUGUUCAUCUGUCUGAGGAUGAAACGCGGUGCUGAAAUCGAGCCGUGUGCCAAGUGCUUCUUACAGGUUUUUCCAAAAUUGCGAAGUAAAACGGGGUCUCGAUCUAACACGAUCGACUUGGGAACCCCGUGCAACCUCACAACUUCAUCAAAGUAUACCUGCGCCAACUUAUCGCCCGACCAGGUGGUGUGAAUCGGUAGAAAAUGUGCCGACUUAGUCAUACGAUCCACAAUUACCCAGAUCGCGUCGUGGCCACCCGUCGAACGGGGCAAUCCGACCACGAAGUCCAUCGCGAUAUUCUCCCAUUUCCAAACGGGAAUAGGUAAACUUUGGAGCUUUUCCGCUGAAAAUCGACGCUCAGCCUUCACUUGCUGGCAUACAAGGCACUGCGCUACAUAGCACCCAAUGUCUGCUUUCAUGCUCGGCCACCAGUACCGCAUCUUCAGAUCAAGGUACAUCUUGGUGCCGCCCGGGUGAAUGCUAUAAGGAGUCCGAUGUGCUUCUUGUAAGAUCAAUUUCUGGACCUCCUCGUUUUUCGGCACGCACCAUCGGUUUCGAAACCGAAGCGCACCCUCAGCGUCUGUACUGAAAUCACCGCCAUGUCUACUCUCGAUGUCCCGCCGCACCUUUUGGAGAUUAGGGUCCGCAGAUUGCAAACUCUUAAUCUGCUCAAACAAGGUCGGUUCGACAACGAGAGCCGUAAGCAUGGACGGGAUUUUCGGAGCUACCACCUCGAGAUCCAAUCGUUCCAUCUUUCUCCAUAGUGGCUUUUGACGUGUGACCAAUAUAGCAAGAUUUUUCACUGACUUCCUGCUAAGCACGUCGGCCACCACGUUUGCUUUUUCGGGGUGGUAUAGGAUUGUCACGUCGAAAUCCUUUAGCAAUUCCAACCACCGCUGUUGUCGCAUAUUGAGCUCCUUUUGUGUGAAAAGGUAUUUCAGACUUUUGUAGUCCGUGUAUAUCUCGCAACGCGCGCCAUACAAGUAGUGCCUCCAUAACUUGAGAGCAAAUACUACUAUGGCCAACUCUAAAUCGUGGACAGGAUAGUUCUUCUCAUAGCUCUUCAGCUGACGGGACGCAUAAGCGAUCACCUUCCCGCCCUGCAUUAGAACACUCCCUAAGCCCGAUUGUGACGCGUCGCUAUACACCACGAAGUUUUCAUCUUGCACCAGCAAGGCGAGCACCGGAGUCGAAGUUAAUCUAUCCUUCAACUCUUGGAAACUCCGGUCGCACUCGUCACUCCAAAUGAACUUGGUGCCUUUUCGAGUCAGACGAGUAAGUGGACCCAUGAUCUUCGAGAAUCCCUCCAUGAACCGUCUAUAAUAACCCGCUAAACCCACGAAGCUUCGAACUUCCGUGACGUUAGUCGGGCGAGGCCAAUCCUUGAUCGCCUCCACUUUCCUCGGGUCAACAGAUACUCCUCCUUCGGAAAUGACAUGCCCAAGAAAUGCAACCUCUCGGAGCCAAAAGUCGCAUUUCUUAAACUUAGCAUACAACUUCUCCUCUCGAAGGAUUUGAAGCACAAUUCUCAAAUACUGAGCAUGUUCCUCGUCGCUGCGCGAGUAGACCAAGAUGUCGUCUAUGAAGACAACGACAAAUCGGUCCAAGUACUCUUUGAAGACACGGUUCAUUAAAUCCAUGAACGCUGCCGGGGUAUUAGUGAGCCCAAACGGCAUGACCGUGAAUUCGUAGUGUCCAUACCGCGUGCGAAACGCGGUCUUUUGCACAUCUUCCGGCUUAAUCUUGAGUUGAUGAUAAUCGGACUGUAGAUCAAUCUUUGAAUAACCCGAGACCCUUGCAACUGAUCAAAUAAAUCAUCGAUCCUGGGCAACGGGUACUUAUUCUUGAUUGUGACUUUGUUCAACUCGCGAUAAUCUACGCAGAGUCGAAACGAUCCGCCCUUCUUUCACACGAACAGAACCGGGGCUCCCCAUGGCGACACACUUGGCCGUAUAAAUCCCUUAUUAAGGAGAUCUAUCAACUGGGCCCGUAACUCCUUCAAUUCUGUCGGCGCCAUCCGAUACGGAGCCUUCGAGAUAGGCGUGGUUCCUGGAACCAAGUUUAUCACGAACUCGAUCUUCUGGUUUGGUAGCAUUCCCGGUAACUCCGCGGGAAAAACAUCUGGGAACUCCCGAACUACGGAUAACUCCUCCAGCAUAGGAGUCAUCCUCUUGACUUCCACAACGGUCGCCAAAUAGGCCACGCAACCGCUGUUAAUCAACUUCCUUGCCCCCGUCGCCGACACCAUAGCAGCGAAACGCGAGCUUCUACAGACCCGGUAGGUGAAUUCCUCCUGGCCCGGUUCUCGGAAUGUUAUUACUUUACUUCUGCAAUGAAUAGUCGCAUAGUACUUCGAGAGCCAAUCCAUUCCUAGAAUGACGUCGAAGUCCUUCAACUUCUUGAACAUCAACAUACGGAUGGGCAUUAUCCAAUCGCCCAACCGCACUGGACACGACGAACACUCCAUCCGGACUAGAAAAUCACGUCCGGGGCUCGAUACCCUCCAAGUGCUUUUACUCUCUUGUAGUUCUAUGCCAUGCAUGCGUGCAAACAACCUACUGACGAAUGAAUGUGUAGCACAUGUAUCAAACAUGGCCCUGGAGCGAACUCCGUUAAUUAAAACCAUACCUGCAAGUACAUGGAGAUUCUCCGCCUCAGCAGGUUCCUCGGCUUGAGUUUGGGCGGCGAAUACCCGCCCGCUCAGAGCCGAUCUCAUCGCCUCAGGUUGGCGUGGUACCAUCGCACGUCCAGCCGAUGACGCUGCAGGUGGAACUCCUCCAUAGUGUGCCGGAGUCGACCGAAGGGGCAGGCGAAGCCCUCACUGGACAGUAGCGGCUGAUGUGGCCCGCCUGUCCACAUGUGAAGCACUUUCCUUCCCGUUGAUCACACGUCCUUGGCUCGUGGUUCCCACCGCAAAUUAUGCACCGCUGCGGUCCGCGGCCCUUGGAUUGCGUUCGUGGGUACUUCGGGGGCUUCCUUGACAUGGUUUGAGCUCCCGAGCUACUCUGAGCCCGCUUCUUACCACCGUCCUUCUCGGACGCUUCUCGCUCCUCCCGGAUGUGAGCGUUUCCUUGCUCCGCCCACAAUGCUUUGUCGAGCACUUCCGCGAAGGUAGUGAGCUUCAAUAUGUGCACCGCUCGGUAGAUAUCAGUCCGGAGCCCUCGCUCGAACCAAUCGGCUCGAUCCCUGUCAUCCCGCACUACGUCGGGGACGCAGUCAAUGAUGUGAGAGAACUCCCGCUCAUAUUCCGCCACCGUGCGGUUCCCUUGCUUAAACUUCCGAAAUUGCUCCUAGAGCUUCUUCUUCUCGCUAUCGGGAAAGUAGUUGACGUAGAACAAUCCCCGAAAUUCCUCCCACGUCAACGGCGGAAGGUCGGAAGCUCGGUUUCUCUUGAUUCGCUCCCACCAAACCUUCGUCGUCCGCUCCAAGCAAUGAGUGGCGAGGUAGACUUUGUCCCUCUCCAAGGUGUAGAGGUCCUCGAACAAGGUCUCUAUUGAGUCCACCCACGACUCAACCAUCCAUGGCUCAACCUUCUCUCCCUCAAAGGUCGGUGGAUUGAACCUUCGAAACUUCUCGAGAGCCGCAAGCGCGCGCUCUCUCUCCGCCUCCAAUGUCGUCGCAUCGGGUGUCGUAGAACCCGACGCCGCCGGAGGAACGCUCGCCGGCGGGGGACGCGCCGCCACCGGAAUUGCCGCAAUGCCCUCGCCCGCAGCCGCCGUAGGCGCACGUGUGGAAGGCGGGGGCCGACCACGGCCCUUAGUUACAGCUGCAGUUGCCGCCACAAAAUACCACUCCAUAAGCCCUUGGAGCUGCUCAAAUCGACUCUCCCGGCGCUGUACAAUGCCGGUCAAUGCCAACACCUGCGCCCGUAACUCCCGUACUUCGCUAGAUUCGGCUUCCUCGGGCUCCUAAGAAGACGGUGCCGGAACGGACCUACGUACAUAGCGUCUUGGGGACAUUGUUCCUGCAACGCAACAACCGGGUUAGUCAUCUAACCCACUUAACUCCGUCGCAUACACUAUAUUACGCGACUCAACUCCGCCAUAAGCGGACGUACACCAGUGUAUUAGUUCUAACUCUUAGCGUUGUGUUGUCGGCCGCCAAUACAAACUCCUCGAGCUCAGAAACUAACACCGCUCGGAUCUAUCUCUACCCACAUACUCGAUCCGACCUAAUCGGAUUCUUCCUCUACCGAUAUAGGUUCACAUUUUUCUCACGUACUUAUCACCUUAAGGUUGCCAACCUAGGUCUCCUAGGUCCAUCCUACACUCUCUCUUUACUUGCUCUUAAUUGCUCUGAUACCAAAAAUACUCUGUCAUGCCCCGAAACCGCUACCUAUUUGGUCCGAUUCGGGCGCGUCAAACAGACGCCGAACGAACAGCACCUCUCCUGUCCGCCCAAGGCCAAGCAACCAGAUCAUGUACAAUUAAGCGCCCAGGAAAUGCUUUAAUAACAUAUAUGAUCGAAACGAUGCACACAAGUGCACAAUAACUAAGAGCAAAAACCACAAGUAAUAUACGAGUGUAUAAAGAGAGGUAGUCUAACUAUUACAACUAUUCAAGAUUUACAUCAUUUGAUUACAUUUCCAUCUUCCAAAAUGUAAAUACAUAUUUUCUCCAAAAUACAUGUAGCUCUCUAAUGAUUAUCCAAAACAUCAUCUAGUACACGGAGUACUCUAAUGCAUAAAGGAAAGCUACUAACUAGGCUCACUUAGGGCGCUAUGCCCUUGCCGCGAUCCUCGCUCGGCUCACCUCUGUGUGUACCUGUACCCCAAAACCACACGGGGUGAGAACUAUAUAAAUAUAGUUCCCAGUGGGUUCGGUCGCCGACGCCGCCGGUUUUUCCACUAGGUCUAAGCUGGCACAGAUAGAGAGAUAGAUAGAUAUAUAGAAAGUGAACUGCAACUACUCUAUCAUGCCAUCAAUGAUAAUAAUGUAUGCAACAACUACUAUCAUGCUAGUAUCAUGUCAUGAGUAUAUAAGGAUGCAUAGUAAUGUAAUCUACAACAUACACUAUGUCUACUCAAGGUAAUAAUGCAAGUCUACUAUGCAUUUCAUGUUUAUUACCCAAUCUACUUGGUUUACCCGUAGGUUAACCCUCGACUCACUCUUAAUCUUAUAGGUGAGGAGAAGCUGCACUCGCACAUCGAGACCGUCUGCGAGAUAACUACGUCUGCCCCUAGUGAAGUACUCCGGAGACUAGUGCCUCGGUGGAGCGACCACCGACAAGCAAAACAGACUAGUGAGUAUGAUCUAAUUCUCACAGGAGGAUACCUUGUCUACUAGGGUCAAUGUGCCUCUGCUGCACAAUCAUGAUAUACAUAAUCAAUGUUGGGACCUCUACUAUCGCUAGGUUCAUGUCAAGUUUACUACACUAGACUCAAUGCCACUCAUUCGAUCAUUGUAGUAAGUUUUCUACUAGUUGACAUGCCACUCGUUCAAGUUUAGUGUCUCUACUAUACUAGUUCAAUGCCACUCUACCAGGCUAUGUCCAAGUUCGGCUCUUUAUGCCGCUAUAGGAUUCUAUGUCACAAGACCCAAUCCUCAUGCUAUCCUAGUCCACGUGUCAAGCUCACCCCGCUACACUACCAAGAAAGCAUGCAAGGAAAUGGAAUGUACAACUACUAUUCCUAUAGCACAAUAUGAUCAAUAUAAUUAACUUAGACAUAAAAAGAAACCCGGAUGUUUCGGGAUGACACCCCCCACCUUUUGUGUAUACGGAGGCUCUAGAAAUGCGCUUCGGCGUCCUUUACGACGGAGCCUCGGUCUUUUUGGUCCAAAUGAUGCUCAAU
This 8129-nucleotide long non-coding RNA is filed under the name Ananas comosus (pineapple). RNAcentral describes it as "long non-coding RNA (ACOM_LNC013419)". The record is from RNAcentral. Lineage: Eukaryota; Viridiplantae; Streptophyta; Magnoliopsida; Poales; Bromeliaceae.